RNAcentral lists this ribosomal RNA (253 nucleotides) under uncultured bacterium. Its description in RNAcentral is "partial 16S ribosomal RNA". It matches the Rfam family "Bacterial small subunit ribosomal RNA", at positions 524 to 776 of the family's 1533-position model. The record is from RNAcentral.
UACGGAGGGUGCUAGCGUUGUUCGGAAUCACUGGGCGUAAAGGGCGUGUAGGCGGUCUGUUAAGUCUGAUGUGAAAUCCCCAGGCUCAACCUGGGAACUGCGUCCGAUACUGGCAGGCUUGAAUCCGGGAGAGGGAUGUGGAAUUCCAGGUGUAGCGGUGAAAUGCGUAGAUAUCUGGAGGAACACCGGUGGCGAAGGCGGCAUCCUGGACCGGUAUUGACGCUGAGGCGCGAAAGCUAGGGGAGCAAACGGG